UAUAGGGAAGCUUGGUUAAUAUCAGAGUUAAAGGGAAUGGUUGUCGGAGGCAGAGGUUCUGAAGUUCACGACUCCUAGAAGGGGAGGGGAAUGAAAGGCUCUCAGUGAAGAAGGACUUCUCAGAGCCUUUCUAUCCUGAUGACAACGUGACUCUUUCCAGAGAACAGCAGUGACAGCUCUGGAAUGUCUAGGGAGAGGAAGGGCUUAGUGACCAGAGUGCUGGCAGCACAAGGUUCUAGGUCACGUUUGUUUUCUUUGCACACUGUUUUAUUUAUUUAUUCUUUUUUUUUUUGGUUUUACUUAGAGUAUAUAUUUUGGGGUUGGUUUGGGCAUGCUGAUAGAGGUAAUGACCUAAGGCACCCCUUGGCCUUACUAUUGACAAUGUAGCAUUUCCACACUUCUUUGGCUACAGAACCAUUUUGAAUCUGUGUCAGAGGCACACACUUUAGGAAAAACCAACACAGGCAAAUAGUGCCCCUCAUUUUGAUCUACUUUUAUGAGUGUGCUUGAAAAACAGUUUAUUGUUUGCCCAUAUUUUCUGGUAGUAUAUGGAGGUUUUUUCCAUUUAAUGUUUUAAUCCAGCUAAUGUGUAUUUUUGUAUAUGAUGUGAGGGAGAGAUUCAACUUUUUAAUUUAUCUCUUUAUUUUAUAUUGCAGAAUACCAGUUGUCCCCAAACCUUGCAUUAAACGUGUUUUUGGUUUUGUUUUCAGGUCCAGAACCCUUCAGAUCGACUUACCAAUAAGUUCAAUAUGUAAAACAGUUAAAAUUUGGUUCAAAUGCGGAAGGAUGAGAGUUAUUGCAACCUGGCAACACUCCCUACCCCCAUUCUCACCCUCCCUACAGGGAAGGCUCCAGGGAGUACUUUGAAAACCGUUGGAAAAAUUCUCCUCAUAAAUGACUUGAAAUGCCAUGUCUGUAGUAUGCUAUGUUAAAUUUUUUUACCCAUUCCAAUUAUUUUUCUAUUUUCCUGCCAAUCUCAUACUUUAAAUUAAUUUAGAGGCUAAGAGCUUUGUAAUAUAACAAAGGAAGAAAUUAAAAUGUCUAAUAAGUAAAAUAACAACAUGUUAUUUUGGGGGGCCUGCAUAUUAGUGUAUUUCUUUAAAAUAAUGUCUACUAUUGGCAAGAGUUGACUAGGUCACCUUCAACAUGGAGAUUCACUUGGUAAAACUAUAUAUUGAUCAAUAAUUUGAUAAUGUGUGUCACAAGUUUACAAGGUUGAUAUUCUUUGAUCCAUCAAAUCACUUAUAGGAUUUAAGACUAAAUAAAUAACUGGAACUGUAUAGGAAAUUUUUCUGUUGUUUCUAUUAUUGAUAAUAUUGAAAAUGAUCCAAAUGCUUAACAAUGUGGGACUGGUUAAAUGAAUCCUGGCACAGCCAUAGGAUACUCCUCAGCCAUUACUGUGAUGUUGUAAAAAGGAAAAUAUUUUGAGUACUCGUGAUGCAUCUGGCACUGUACCAAGCACCUUAAUUAUUACUGUCUUACUUAAGCCUAACAGUAUCCGGAGAUGAUAGGUAUCAUUAUUCCCAUUUAUAGAUGAGAAAACACAGAAGUUCGAACAGCUAGUAAAGUAGUGUUGCUGGAAUUCAGUCCAUGUCUUCGUAACCUUAUUCUUUUUUUUUUUU
Delphinapterus leucas (beluga whale) is the source of this 1622-nucleotide non-coding RNA. The record is from RefSeq and is a predicted model, not a curated record. Lineage: Eukaryota; Metazoa; Chordata; Mammalia; Artiodactyla; Monodontidae.